RNAcentral lists this ribosomal RNA (516 nucleotides) under uncultured bacterium. RNAcentral describes it as "bacterial SSU rRNA". It matches the Rfam family "Bacterial small subunit ribosomal RNA", at positions 162 to 697 of the family's 1533-position model. The record is from RNAcentral.
GCUAAUACCGGAUACUCCGCAAUCAUCGCAUGAUGGAUGCGGGAAAGCGCAUACGGUGAGAGAUGGGCUCGCGGCCCAUUAGCUAGUUGGUGGGGUAAUGGCCUACCAAGGCGAUGAUGGGUAGCCGGGUUGAGAGACCGACCGGCCACAUUGGGACUGAGACACGGCCCAAACUCCUACGGGAGGCAGCAGUGGGGAAUUUUGCGCAAUGGGCGAAAGCCUGACGCAGCAACGCCGCGUGCGGGAUGACGGCCUUCGGGUUGUAAACCGCUUUCAGUAGGGAAGAUAAUGACGGUACCUACAGAAGAAGCUCCGGCUAACUACGUGCCAGCAGCCGCGGUAAUACGUAGGGAGCAAGCGUUAUCCGGAUUCAUUGGGCGUAAAGCGCGCGUAGGCGGCUUGUUAAGCAAGGUGUUAAAUCUGAGGGCUCAACCCCCAGCCGCACCUUGAACUGGCAGGCUUGAGUUCGGUAGAGGAAAGUGGAAUUCCCAGUGUAGCGGUGGAAUGCGCAGAUAU